This 291-nucleotide ribosomal RNA is filed under the name uncultured bacterium. Its description in RNAcentral is "partial 16S ribosomal RNA". It matches the Rfam family "Bacterial small subunit ribosomal RNA", at positions 335 to 643 of the family's 1533-position model. The record is from RNAcentral.
CUUCCUACGGGACGCAGCAGUGGGGAAUAUUGCACAAUGGGGGAAACCCUGAUGCAGCGACGCCGCGUGAGUGAAGAAGUAAUUCGUUAUGUAAAGCUCUAUCAGCAGGGAAGAAAAUGACGGUACCUGAGUAAGAAGCCCCGGCUAACUACGUGCCAGCAGCCGCGGUAAUACGUAGGGGGCAAGCGUUAUCCGGAAUCACUGGGUGUAAAGGGAGCGUAGACGGCUGAGCAAGCCUGAAGUGAAAGGCGGGGGCCCAACCCCUGGACUGCUUUGGGAACUGUACGGCUG